Molecule: long non-coding RNA, 734 nt
Organism: Anguilla anguilla (European eel)
Lineage: Eukaryota; Metazoa; Chordata; Actinopteri; Anguilliformes; Anguillidae
Exons: 3
Source: RefSeq, a predicted model, not a curated record
CAGGUUUUGGUGUUUGUUUGACUUCAGUGGUCCCCCCCCCCCCACUCCACUCCACUGUAACAGGUAGAAAGGCGAUAUGCCCACUAAGAAAAUGAAACAACCUUUAUCAAUUUUAACACAAGAAAUUAACCUCUUGUUGAAUAUUUUCAUGAAAGUUGUUAAGCUGCAAACUACGCCGUUUAUUUGAGCUAGCUAAUUAAUUAGUGCACUAUCAAGGGAAGGUGUGUAAAUGACGCAAGGGACUUCUGAUUCCCAUGAUGGACGACAGUUUGAUGACACAGAUCCCACGAACAUUAACUCUUUCUCCCCAGGGAAACAGGUGGCGCUACGUUGAGUGGUGGUAGACUGUGCCACUCUGCACCCAACUGGCAAAGAAGAGAAUGAUCUCCUGCAGUACAGUACGCCACAGCAGUAUUGAGGAAAGCUGCAUGGAGUUGGCCUGCUGGCCUCACGUUAAACACUAAAGGGCACACAAGGACUGGCACGCAGAACAAACUCACACCAACAAGCACAAGAGAACACCAGGAGCACGGGGCUGGUUUUAAUUCACAUUUUUAUUGGAGAUCCAAAGUCAAUUAAAUCCCAUCUACAUAAGGGAUAUAAAUCUCACACAGAACUAAUUAUGAAAAACUGAAAAUUUAAAUUUUCAUAGAGGGGGACAGAACAAGAAGGGGAGGUCAAAAGGGAAUGUAAAAAAAGAAACAAUGGCACAAUGAACAAAAAAAUCUAACCAA